Molecule: unclassified non-coding RNA, 371 nt
Filed under: soil metagenome
Description: partial contains 5.8S ribosomal RNA, internal transcribed spacer 2, and large subunit ribosomal RNA
Rfam family: 5.8S ribosomal RNA (bases 1-120)
Source: RNAcentral
GAUGAAGAACGCAGCGAAAUGCGAUAAGUAAUGUUAAUUGCAGAAUUCAGUGAAUCAUCGAAUCUUUGAACGCACAUUGCGCCCCCUGGAAUUCCGGGGGGCAUGCCUGUUCGAGCGUCUCAGGGACGAACCCUCGCGCGGGUGUACGCGCGGUCGUGGCUGCGGUGGCGUGCCCGAGGCGGCGGCCACCGCGCUGGAAUCCAUGGGCGGACGCCUGCCGCGUGGCCGAGCGUGAUAUGACGCAUUGGCGCUCGCACGCGGCGAGGCUGCCAGCCCUGGCCCGUCUGUCGGGCGGGGGAGAGCAAGACACGUGAACUCCUCGAAUCAGGUAGGGAUACCCGCUGAACUUAAGCAUAUCAAUAAGCGGAGGA